AUUCUGACUGUGCGAAGGUAGCAUAAUAAAUUGUCUUUUAAAUGGAGGCUUGAAUGAAGGUUGGACAAAGUGUCAUCUGUUUCUUAAAUAUUUAUUGAAUUUGACUUUCAAGUGAAAAGGCUUGAAUAAAUUAAAAAGACGAUAAGACCCUAUAAAUCUUUACAAUAAACAUGUUUUAUAUUUUAAUUUAUAAGUUUAUAAAAUAUUAAAUUUGUAGUUGUUCCGCUGGGGCGGCGUGGAUAUAUUAAUAAACUGUCUAUAUAUUAAACUCAAUAAUCAUUGAUUAAUAAGAUUGAUCCUUAAAUAGAUUAAAAGAUUAAGAUACUUUAGGGAUAACAGCGUUAUUUUUUUUGAGAGUUCCUAUCGAAGAAAAAGUUUGCGACCUCGAUGUUGAAUUAAAGUAUCUUUAUGGUGCAGCCGCUAUAAGAGAG
This 431-nucleotide ribosomal RNA is filed under the name Pagurus middendorffii. RNAcentral's name for it is "partial 16S ribosomal RNA". It matches the Rfam family "Bacterial large subunit ribosomal RNA", at positions 1939 to 2571 of the family's 2925-position model. Lineage: Eukaryota; Metazoa; Arthropoda; Malacostraca; Decapoda; Paguridae. The record is from RNAcentral.